Molecule: long non-coding RNA, 179 nt
Filed under: Chinchilla lanigera (long-tailed chinchilla)
Lineage: Eukaryota; Metazoa; Chordata; Mammalia; Rodentia; Chinchillidae
Description: lncRNA (ENSCLAG00000023911.1)
Source: RNAcentral
GAGUGUCAGACCAGUAAUGAAAUGUUUCUGCCAGAAGAGCCUCUCAGCACUUCCCCUUGCAACAGUGACCAGGAUGACCACAGACUUCACUGGAAGAUCAUUCUAGAAGCAGACUACAGAAGGUAAAGACUAGCUCCCUUUAAGCACACAAAUAAGACUUGAAUUAUUAUUUAUUAUUG